GUUGAAGGAGGUUCGAUUAAAAUCGCUGCAUCAUGCAGCGAUUUUAAUCGAACUGACCUACCUCCCGUAGG
Molecule: small RNA, 71 nt
Filed under: Pontibacillus yanchengensis Y32
Lineage: Bacteria; Bacillati; Bacillota; Bacilli; Caryophanales; Bacillaceae
Description: Bacillaceae-1 RNA
Rfam family: Bacillaceae-1 RNA
Source: Rfam by way of RNAcentral